UCGAUUAACUAGAUAAUUUUCCAAAAUAGGGCUUUGGUGCAAAUAGCGGUGAGUAGAAACUGUGACACCUAUUCAACCCCCCCUUCUAAGUAUAUUCUGUCACUGAUACCUAACAAACCGGUCGCCCUCGGUGUCCGAAUUGUAGUGUGGAGAAGCAUCCUCAAAGGCGGAUCGGGCCCAAGUCCCCUGGAAGGGGGCACUGGAGAGGGUGAGAGCCUCAUCAUGCCCGAAACCUGAAGCACCACGAGGCAUUGUUGGCGAUUCGAGUUGUUUGGGAAUGCAGCCCCAAUCGGGCGGUAAAUUCCGUCCAAGGCUAAAUACUAGCGAGAGACCGAUAGUGAUCAAGUAUCACGAGGGAAAGAUGAAAAGGACUUUGAAAAAAGAGUCAAAGAGUGCUUCAAAUUGACGGGAGGGAAGCAGAUGGGGGUCGACAAUGUGCGUCGGUCAGAUAUGGAAUGGCGAGAGCCGAUCUGCCAAUCGACUCAGGGCAUGGAGCGACGUGAAUUGUGAUGGUGGCCCAAGCCCGGGUUGUUGACAUGCUCUUGGAGACGUCAUCAUCGCUAUUAUGGUUGGAAGAUCGCGUUGUUUGGUGUGCUUUGGCACCUGUGUGCUCCGGGCGUCGGCCUGUGGGCUCCUCAUUCGGCCCGUCUUAAAACACGGACCAAGGAGUCUGACAUGUGUGUGAGUCAAAUGGCAAGUAAACUCGUAAGGCGCAAGGAAGCUGAAUGGUAGGAUCCCCUUUUGGUAAGGAUAAUUGGCGAUGCGGGAUGAAUCGGAAGCUGGGUUACGGUGCCCAACUGCGCGCUAACCUAGACCCCACAAAGGGUUAUGGUUGAUUAAGACAGCAGGACGGUGGUCAUGGAAGUCAAAAUCUGCUAAGGAGUGUGUAACAACUCAACUGCCGAAUAAACUAGCCCCAAAAAUGGAUAGCACUAAAGUGCACGACUUAUACCCGGCCGUUGGGGCAAGGACUAGGAACCGAUGAGUAGGAGGGCACGCCGGUUGCUGCAAAACCUGGGGCGUGAGCCUGGGUGGAGAGAUCGUCGAUGCAGAUCUUGGUGGUAGUAGCAAAUAUUCAAAUGAGAACUUUGAAGGCCGAAGAGGGGAAAGGUUCUAUGUGAACGACACUUGCAUAUGGGUUAGUCGAUCCUAAGGGACGGGGGAAGCCUAUCUAAUAGCGCUCUAAGUGUGCAGUCCGAAACGGAAUCAGGUUAAAAUUCCUGAAACGGGACGUGGCAGCUGACGACAACGUUAGGGAGUCCGAAGACGUUGGUAGAGGCCGCGGAAAGAGUUAUCUUUUCUAUUUAAUAGACUGCCCACCUUGGAAACGGCUCAGCCGGAGGUAGGGUCCAGUGGCUGGAAGAGCACCGCACGUCGCGUGGUGUCCAGUGCGCCCCCGAUGGCCCUUGAAAAUCCAGAGGACCGAGUGCCCUCCCACACCCGGUCGUAUUCAUAACCGCAUCAGGUCUCCAAGGUGAACAACCUGUGGUCGAUGGAACAAUGUAGGAAAGGGAAGUCGGUAAAAUGGAUCUGUAACCUCGGGAAAAAUAUUGGCACUAAGGGUUGGGCAUGGGGGUCCCAGUCCCGAACCCAUCGGUUGUCGGUGGACUACUCGAGCUGCUCUCACAGCGAGAGCGGGUCGCCACGUGCCGGUCGGGGGACGGAUUAGGAACGGGCCCUUCAGGGCCUCUUCCCCGGGCGUCGAACAGUCGACUCAAAACUAGUACGGACAAGGGGAAUUCGACUAUUUAAUUAAAACAAAGCAUUGCGAUGGUCCCUACGGAUGUUGCCGCAAUGUGAUUUCUUCCUAGUGCUCUGAAUGGGAAAGUGAAGAUAUUCAGCCAAGCGCGGGUAAACGACGGGAGUAACUAUGACUCUCUUAAGGUAGCCAAAUGCCUCGACAUCUAAUUAGUGACGUGCAUAAAUGGAUUAACGAGAUUCCCAUUGUGCCUGUGUACUAUCCAACAAAACCACAGCCAAGGGAACAGGCGUGGCAGAAUCUGCGGGGAAAAAAGACCCUGUUGAGCUUGAAUCUAGUCUGACAUUGUGAAAUGACUUGAGAGGUGUAGGAUGAGUCGGAGCUGGAAACAACAGAAGUGAAAUACCACUACUUUUAACGUUAUUUUACUUAUUCCUUGAAUUGGAGGCGGGGUGUAGCCCCUGUUUUUGGACCCAAGGUCGGCCUUGGUGGUCGAUCUGGGCGGAAGACAUUGUCAAGUGGGGAGUAUGGCUAGUGCAGCACAUCUGUUAAAAGAUAACGCAAGUGUCCUAAGAUGAGCUCGACGAGAACAUAAAUCUCAUGUGGAACAAAAGGGUAAAAGCCGAUUUGAUUCUGAUUUCUAGUACGAAUACGAACUGUGAAAGCAUGGCCUAUCGAUCCUUUAGUCCUUCAGAAUUUGAAGCUAGAGGUGUCAGAAAAGUUACCACAUGGAUAACUGGCUUGUGAUAGCCAAGCGUUCAUAGCAAUGUUUUUUUUAUCCUUCGAUGUCGGCUCUUCCUACCAUUGUGAAGCAGAAUUUACCAAGUGUUGGAUUGUUCACCCAAAAAUAGGGAACAUGAGCUGGGUUUAGACCAUCGUGAGACAGAUUAGUUUUACCCUACUGAUGACAGUGUCACAAUAGUAAUUCAAUCUAGUAAGAGAGGAACCAUUAAUUCGCACAAUUGGUCAUUGCGCUUGGUUGAAAAGCUAGUGGUGCGAAGCUACGGUGCGUUCGAUUAUGUCUGAAUGCCUGUAAGUCAGAAUCCGGGCUAGAAGCGAUGCUUGUGCUCGUCACUCAUUUGUCGACCUGCAGUAGGGGGCCUCGGCCGCAUAGAGUCCCGUGUCAUUGGUGACCCUCGCAGGGUAGACGAACCUCGUGGGAUGCCUUGAAGCGCUAUUCCACACUGGGCAGCAGGUAGAAUCCUUUGCAUAUGAAUUAAAUACGCGACGGGGUGUUUUAAGUGGCAGAGUGGCCUUGCUGCCAUGAUCCACUUAGAUUCAAUCCUUGUCGCUUCGAUUCGU
This 3001-nucleotide ribosomal RNA is filed under the name Lupinus angustifolius (narrow-leaved blue lupine). RNAcentral describes it as "eukaryotic LSU rRNA". It matches the Rfam family "Eukaryotic large subunit ribosomal RNA". The record is from RNAcentral. Lineage: Eukaryota; Viridiplantae; Streptophyta; Magnoliopsida; Fabales; Fabaceae.